Molecule: transfer RNA, 76 nt
Filed under: Alphaproteobacteria bacterium RIFCSPHIGHO2_01_FULL_40_8
Lineage: Bacteria; Pseudomonadati; Pseudomonadota; Alphaproteobacteria
Also listed under: 4 other names
Description: tRNA-Trp
Rfam family: tRNA
About the family: Transfer RNA (tRNA) molecules are approximately 80 nucleotides in length.
Source: RNAcentral
AGGAGCGUAGCUCAACUGGUAGAGUAGCGGUCUCCAAAACCGUUGGUUGGGGGUUCGAGUCCUCUCGCUCCUGCCA